RNAcentral lists this ribosomal RNA (466 nucleotides) under uncultured bacterium. RNAcentral's name for it is "partial 16S ribosomal RNA". It matches the Rfam family "Bacterial small subunit ribosomal RNA", at positions 28 to 507 of the family's 1533-position model. The record is from RNAcentral.
GAUGAACGCUGGCGGCGUGCUUAACACAUGCAAGUCGAACGAUGACCCCGUGCUUGCACGGGUGAUUAGUGGCGAACGGGUGAGUAACACGUGAGUAACCUGCCCCCGACUUUGGGAUAAGCCCGGGAAACUGGGUCUAAUACCGGAUAUGACUUCUUACCGCAUGGUGGGUUGUUGAAAGAUUUAUCGGUGGGGGAUGGACUCGCGGCCUAUCAGCUUGUUGGUGAGGUAAUGGCUCACCAAGGCGACGACGGGUAGCCGGCCUGAGAGGGUGACCGGCCACACUGGGACUGAGACACGGCCCAGACUCCUACGGGAGGCAGCAGUGGGGAAUAUUGCACAAUAGGCGAAAGCCUGAUGCAGCGACGCCGCGUGAGGGAUGACGGCCUUCGGGUUGUAAACCUCUUUCAGUAGGGAAGAAGCGAAAGUGACGGUACCUGCAGAAGAAGCGCCGGCUAACUACGUG